Molecule: ribosomal RNA, 303 nt
Filed under: Triticum aestivum (bread wheat)
Lineage: Eukaryota; Viridiplantae; Streptophyta; Magnoliopsida; Poales; Poaceae
Description: partial small subunit ribosomal RNA
Source: RNAcentral
AUGUUUCAGGCAUGGAACUUACUGGAAGAAGGAAAAUCAGGGGAGUUCAUGGACACGGUGCUUCUAAAGAGUUGUUCACUUCAUCAAGUGUCGUUGUGCACCCACAUAGCAUUAUUGUGUGUUCAGGAUAGCUCGGGUGCCAGGCCACUCAUGUCGCUAGUCGUGUCUAUGCUGGACAACGAGGCCAUGCCAGUCAUGACUCCAAAGCAACCUCUGUAUUUCAUUGGAAGGAGACAUGAAGCAGAAGAAGCGACGAAGGACUCCGUUAACAGCGCGGGCCUGACAAUGCUAGUAGGACGAUAG